Molecule: ribosomal RNA, 279 nt
Filed under: uncultured bacterium
Lineage: Bacteria
Description: partial 16S ribosomal RNA
Rfam family: Bacterial small subunit ribosomal RNA
Source: RNAcentral
ACUCCUACGGGGCAGGCAGUAGGGUAGGAUAUUGCACAAUGGGCGCAAGCCUGAUGCAGCCAUGCCGCGUGUGUGAAGAAGGCCUUCGGGUUGUAAAGCACUUUCAGUAAGGAGGAAAGGUUAGUAGUUAAUACCUGCUAGCUGUGACGUUACUUACAGAAGAAGCACCGGCUAACUCCGUGCCAGCAGCCGCGGUAAUACGGAGGGUGCGAGCGUUAAUCGGAAUUACUGGGCGUAAAGCGUACGCAGGCGGUUUGUUAAGCGAGAUGUGAAAGCCCG